AACGAACGCUGGCGGCAGGCCUAACACAUGCAAGUCGAGCGCGCCUUCGGGUGAGCGGCGGACGGGUGCGUAACGCGUGGGAAUAUGCCCUUCUCUACGGAAUAGUCCUGGGAAACUGGGGGUAAUACCGUAUACGCCCUUUGGGGGAAAGAUUUAUCGGGGAAGGAUUAGCCCGCGUUGGAUUAGGUAGUUGGUGGGGUAAUGGCCUACCAAGCCGACGAUCCAUAGCUGGUUUGAGAGGAUGAUCAGCCACACUGGGACUGAGACACGGCCCAGACUCCUACGGGAGGCAGCAGUGGGGAAUCUUAGACAAUGGGGGCAACCCUGAUCUAGCCAUGCCGCGUGAGUGAUGAAGGCCUUAGGGUUGUAAAGCUCUUUCAGCUGGGAAGAUAAUGACGGUACCAGCAGAAGAAGCCCCGGCUAACUCCGUG
RNAcentral lists this ribosomal RNA (431 nucleotides) under uncultured bacterium. RNAcentral describes it as "partial 16S ribosomal RNA". It matches the Rfam family "Bacterial small subunit ribosomal RNA", at positions 29 to 507 of the family's 1533-position model. The record is from RNAcentral.